AAAGGAAUAGACGGGGACCCGCACAAGUGGUGGAGCAUGUGGUUUAAUUCGAAGAUACGCGAAGAACCUUACCUAGCCUUGACAUUGAUAGAAUACUGUAGAGAUACGGUAGUGCCCUUCGGGGAGCUUGAAAACAGGUGCUGCACGGCUGUCGUCAGCUCGUGUCGUGAGAUGUUGGGUUAAGUCCCGCAACGAGCGCAACCCUCGUUCUUAGUUGCUAGCAGGUUAAGCUGAGCACUCUAAGGAGACUGCCUUCGCAAGGAGGAGGAAGGUGAGGACGACGUCAAGUCAUCAUGGCCCUUACGGCUAGGGCUACACACGUGCUACAAUGGGGCGUACAGAGUGUUGCGAUACCGCGAGGUGGAGCCAAUCACUUAAAGCGUCUCUCAGUUCGGAUUGGAGUCUGCAACUCGACUCCAUGAAGCUGGAAUCACUAGUAAUCGUAGAUCAGCAAUGCUACGGUGAAUACGUUCCCGGGUCUUGUACACACCGCCCGU
RNAcentral lists this ribosomal RNA (497 nucleotides) under uncultured bacterium. Its description in RNAcentral is "bacterial SSU rRNA". It matches the Rfam family "Bacterial small subunit ribosomal RNA", at positions 903 to 1397 of the family's 1533-position model. The record is from RNAcentral.